Cinara cedri is the source of this 1272-nucleotide non-coding RNA. The record is from the annotation of a GenBank genome assembly. NCBI's taxonomy places the organism in Eukaryota, Metazoa, Arthropoda, Insecta, Hemiptera, Aphididae.
AAAUUUUAAAAGUCUGGUCAAAUAUCAAUAUAAAUUUAUCCAUUUGGUUGUGGUUGGAGGAUGUGUCUUUUGGGGGUUUCAACUUUCACACAACAAUAUGUGUUAUCAAAUUUCAUGUUUUCACACGAGUCUAAAUGAUACUUACAGAUUUCAAUUUUUAAAUCAAUAUAAAAAAAAAAGAAAAAUGAAAUGAAUUAUCGUUACAACAAUAAGUUUGCCGAGGGGUAAUCAUAUUUUGGUGAUGGAGCUUUGUUGUUGAUUUUAAAUCUCACCGUUGAUAAAGACCGUCGUAGGAACACGAAGAAAAUUAUUUUUCCUAUAUACAAAAAUUACUACUCGAUGGAGUAAAAUAGCCACUUAGAAUUUAAGUAUAUUAUAUAUAUUGCUAUACAAUCAUUGAUUUUAAAGGAAAAUUACGAAUAUAUUAUUAUAUUACUGUUUGUGUAUAUCGAUAAAACUCUAAAGUGCUUGUAAAACGUGGAGGCUUCCACUCCCCCUAUCAUUUAUUAACUAAAUCAGUACACGUUUAAAUGCUAACAAAAUAUUCCACAAUACCUACAUGUUUGCAUAGAACAUUUUUAUUGUUUUCAACAGAUAUUUGGAAAUUUUAAUUAAUGUAUGACACAAAUGCCCAGGGUGCGAAUUUUAAAACUGAGAGUUUUAAGCACUCCCUCCCCUAGCUGUGACCAUACCGUAAAAUUGAACAUUAUUUUGCCGUGUCCUCUCGUAGCAUAAAUUCGACCAUAAAAUUCAUAGUAGCCGAUUUUAAUUAAAUAUGUUAUUUUUAUUUAUUUAUUUAUUUAACGCCUACUGGAUUAUCCGGAUACAACAAUAAGUACAUAAUAUUUAUAAUUAAAACACCUACACAUUAUUAACACGGUUUAUCUCCUAGGUGAUAUUUGCACACGCGUGUCUUCGAGUAAAAAAGUUUACGCGUUUACAUAAUUGGCUAAAAUCGUGUUUUGAUACCUGCCUACGAUUAAAUUUAAUCAUCUUACAUUAUUAUUUUGUUACGUUAAUAUUGUUUCGACUACCGAUAUUAAUUUUCUCGGUUUUUAUAGUGUGGUUAAAUGUCACCAUUAAAAUGUACACCAUAUAAUAUAAUAUUUUAUUAUUUUACUACCCGUUUAAUGUGUAUAUUAUUUUGUAAUCGACACAAAGCCAUAAACAAAAAAACGACUUAAAAAACAUUAUACAAUACAACAUAAAUUAUAUUACUACUCUGUUAGAUUUUGAAUGUAACGCAAAGAUUCGAUUACUUUUACUUAGACG